Rattus norvegicus (Norway rat) is the source of this 46-nucleotide non-coding RNA. The record is from Rfam. Lineage: Eukaryota; Metazoa; Chordata; Mammalia; Rodentia; Muridae.
ACAAAGGCUCUUUUCAGAGCCACCUACAAGAUCUCUAAAAGACUGU